Molecule: ribosomal RNA, 390 nt
Filed under: fungal sp.
Lineage: Eukaryota; Fungi
Description: SSU rRNA
Rfam family: Eukaryotic small subunit ribosomal RNA
Source: RNAcentral
AGCAAUUAUACAGCGAAACUGCGAAUGGCUCAUUAAAUCAGUUAUCGUUUAUUUGAUAGUACCUUACUACUUGGAUAACCGUGGUAAUUCUAGAGCUAAUACAUGCUAAAAACCCCGACUCUCGGAGGGGUGUAUUUAUUAGAUUAAAAGCCAAUGCCCUCCGGGGCUCACUGGUGAUUCAUGAUAACUUGUCGAAUCGCAUGGCCUUGCGCCGGCGAUGGUUCAUUCAAAUUUCUGCCCUAUCAACUUUCGACGGCUGGGUCUUGGCCAGCCAUGGUGACAACGGGUAACGGAGGGUUAGGGCUCGACCCCGGAGAACGAGCCUGAGAAACGGCUAUUACAUCCAAGGAAGGCAGCAGGCGCGCAAAUUACCCAAUACCGACUCGGUGA